CCUACGGGCGGCAGCAGUGGGGGAUAUUGCACAAUGGGGGAAACCCUGAUGCAGCGACGCCGCGUGUGGGAAGACGGUCCUCUGGAUUGUAAACCACUGUCCCCAGGGACGAAGAUGACGGUACCUGGGGAGGAAGCUCCGGCUAACUACGUGCCAGCAGCCGCGGUAAUACGUAGGGAGCGAGCGUUGUCCGGAAUUACUGGGUGAAAAGGGAGCGUAGGCGGGACUGCAAGUUGGGUGUCAAAUCUACCGGCUCAACCGGUAGCCGCACUCAAAACUGCAGUUCUUGAGUGAAGUAGAGGCAGGCGGAAUUCCUAGUGUAGCGGUGAAAUGCGUAGAUAUUAGGAGGAACACCAGUGGCGAAGGCGGCCUGCUGGGCUUUUACUGACGCUGAGGCUCGAAAGUGUGGGGAGCAAACAGGAUUUGAUACCCGGGUAGUC
RNAcentral lists this ribosomal RNA (440 nucleotides) under uncultured bacterium. RNAcentral describes it as "partial 16S ribosomal RNA". It matches the Rfam family "Bacterial small subunit ribosomal RNA", at positions 338 to 795 of the family's 1533-position model. The record is from RNAcentral.